UGUGUGUGUCCAAGUUAACCUCCAGCAAUGCAGGCUGUGAAAUAGUUGGACUAAUAGAGAAAAAGCAAUGCGUUGGUGGAAAAAGGAUCCCUGAUACAAAGGAAGUUGUGCAGUUUUUAGUGAUGCCUCCUUCUGAAGAAUGCCAAUGAAUUUACAUUUUUUUUAAACCGUUCAUAGGGGAAGAUUUUCGUGUUCAUUUUAGAGAGAGAUGCUCUUUUUUUUUUUUUUUUUUUUUUUUAGGAAGGGAAGUUCAAAUUACUUUCUUUCUUUAUAGGUUAUCUUUUAUUUACUUUGAAAAUAUGUUCCUAUUCCCCUUCUGAGUUGCUUAACGACUAAAUCAUCUGAUCUAAGGGACAAAAACUGCACAUGUAGCAAGAGAUAGCUGUGUGUCGUCCGUGCUUUAUGCCAUUUGUUGUUUUCCACUGAGUUCACUAGCAUUUCGUUGUUUUAGAGGUACUGAAUGUGCAAUGUUUACUUUUCACAUGUAUGUUUACAUCACUGUAGAGAGAGAUGCUGAGCUGCCGCAGGUUUCCGCUCUCAUUCUGUCCUGGACGGCGACAGUCGCUUGGAAUGAAACGUUGACCGAGGGCCAGGCCGCGUUUUCCCAACACUGACACUGAAAUCCGUGAUCCUGACACACUGACAAACAUUUCCCCCCCGUUAAAAGGCAUUAAACAUUGAUGAGGUCUUUUUCUGUCUGAGUUGGUCGGCGGUGGAACCGCAGCAUUCAGUACAUGUAAAACAGCAGCGUGUCUCGUAUUCAGAACGUUCUGCUGAAAGAACACACAGAACCGCAAUGAACGAUUUCACCUGAUUUCAGUUUGAGCGUCUGCGUCGACUCUUGGCUGUGUUUUUUUCCCCCAUUACUUUACAUUGAAAUAAUUGCUGAUUUCUAAUAUUUCCCAUUUUUUUGAGACAGAAUUCUGUGUAGUUUAAUAGAAAUGGCAACAAAAAUGGAUUUGCGAUUGACUGUAUUGGCAUUACCGUCACAAUUCCUUUUCUGUUGAUAUUUUUGAGGGUUAUGUUCUUUUCAUUUUGACGUGGCUGUUCAAGAGAAGAAUGUGUGUUCUGGUCAAAUGCAUUCAGGAAUUGUACUGCGUGGAUGAGAGAGAGAAAAAAAAAGCCUGAAACCUUUGCAGAUUGAGGUUUUAGCCGGUUUCAGUAAACCAUCCUGACAAAUUGUGUGCACCAGAGAGGAAACGAUCCGGUUCUCUUCCCCUCUGUUCCCCUGGUGCCAUGUGUGUAGACGAUAAACUCUUUUGCAUUAGGGAGAACGUGACAUCACAGCACAGUAGGUAGUUUUAAGACGUCACCAAUGCAGCUACUAGGCCGUGUGAUUGUUCUGCCUGUAGCCGUGUACACUUAACAUAAAACAAUGAGGGACGGACUGUGCGACUGACUGAGGCGCUGCAAUUUUCUAUCAACGUCAUCCCUGUGAAUUUGCACUCCGAGUCGUCGCAGCUGUCCUCUACCGAGUGCAAUACUUGUGGCUAAUGUAUAAACUGAGCUGUAGCUUCACUAACUUUUGAGUUUAGAGUCUGGAGUACUUUGUCGUAACAAAAGCUAUUUAUUUGCAGUUGUGUGUGUGUGUGUGUCUGUUUUU
Molecule: long non-coding RNA, 1603 nt
Organism: Salarias fasciatus (jewelled blenny)
Lineage: Eukaryota; Metazoa; Chordata; Actinopteri; Blenniiformes; Blenniidae
Exons: 3
Source: RefSeq, a predicted model, not a curated record